UACGUAGGGGGCUAGCGUUGUCCGGAAUCAUUGGGCGUAAAGCGCGUGUAGGCGGCCCGAUAAGUCCGCUGUGAAAGUCCAGGGCUCAACCCUGGGAUGCCGGUGGAUACUGUCGGGCUCGAGUCCGGAAGAGGCGAGUGGAGUUCCUGGUGUAGCGGUGAAAUGCGUAGAUAUCUGGAGGAAUACCGGUGGCGAAGGCGGCAUCCUGGACCGGCAUUGACGCUGAGGAGCGAAAGCUAGGGGAGCAAACGGG
Molecule: ribosomal RNA, 253 nt
Filed under: uncultured bacterium
Lineage: Bacteria
Description: partial 16S ribosomal RNA
Rfam family: Bacterial small subunit ribosomal RNA
Source: RNAcentral